Sinocyclocheilus anshuiensis is the source of this 672-nucleotide long non-coding RNA. RefSeq lists it as uncharacterized. The transcript has 3 exons. The record is from RefSeq and is a predicted model, not a curated record. NCBI's taxonomy places the organism in Eukaryota, Metazoa, Chordata, Actinopteri, Cypriniformes, Cyprinidae.
UUCGAAACAAAUGAUUCACAAAAGAUUCGAAGCUUCAGUGAUUCGAAACAAAUGAUUCACAAAAGAUUCGAAGCUUCAGUGAUUGGACAGCGCGGUCACUCUGCUGCGCAUGCGCACUUUCACUCCAGGGCUGCUCGUCCUCUGGCUUUGUGUCCAAACCGAAAGUAAACUCAGCAAAGAGACGCGCAUUUAGAAGAUCGCCAUUAAAUCCUAAAUAAUAAGACGAAUAUCGAAGCGGCCAUAAACAUCGCAUUACAGACUGAAGUCAGUUUGUGAUUAUGGAGAGCAGAGAGAGCAGAGAGAGAUCUUCAUCUGCUGAUCACAGCUGUGUGUCUCUGAAGAGUGACGGAUCUAUGGGUCCUCCUCCUGACCUCAGUGAUGAUCCAGUGACCUCUGACCCCAGGUGAGAUAUAAUCCAGUGUUAAGCGUGAACAAUCACUGGAUCACAGUUCAUCAUUUCUCAGAUGCUCCACGAGUCGACAAGUGCUGCUUCAACAUGUUCAAUCAGAGAAAACACAGACUGAGAACAGCAGCAGAUUCAGACAGGAGUCACACACUGAUCCACAAACCAGACCAAGAGUCUGUUUCCACUGUUAGUGAAGCACACACUGACUUACUAUUACAGCUGCAGAUAACCAGCAUUUACUGAUUCAUCUGAUGAUUGUUUCUGUG